AUUUUCCACACUUGGGGUAAUAGCGAGCAAAGGCUUACUUUAUAUGCCAUUGCUGAGAAACAAAUGCAAGAUAGCAAGGGACCGACAAGCCUGAGUCCAAGGGUCAAGUCCCCCAUACUGCUGGAGCGGUCCGCACAGGAAUUCCAGUACAACUGAUCCCCUAGGAUAACUGAGGCAUGCAAAGCCUUCCACCACAAUAAGAAGGCUCUUUUUGUCUCCCCCAGUUCCCACGUGUGCUAUGGUCCAGGUGUAUGUCUUCACAGGAGCUCAUCACAGCUCUAAUGAGUGAUCACCACUCAUCUGUCUUCAUCCACAUCCAAUGGAGAGCGCCUGCUAUGAUGUGCAUAUUGUGUGUUUGUUUAUGUGUGCCUGUUGGAAAUAUUUAAAAUGCACAAAUAAUUGCCAAUAGGGCCAAUUUAUAUUGAAAUACUAUCCCCAGUGGCUUGAUGCCAUCUUUGUGUAAUUUCGAGCUGCAUUCUGGGAUGUGUCGUUUAUAGCUGUAUUCUGUAGAGUCGCUGUCAUUGGAGAGCGUGUUGAAUUAGAGCCAGUGACUGCAACCUCCAAGAUACAUUACCGCUUACCAAAAACAAUUACAAUAAUGGUUGAGGACUCCCGAUGCACGGAAACAAUUCCUUUGAUAAAUAACGAGGACAAACUGCAGAGGGUGCAGAUGAGGCAUCUUGCACAAGCUUGGAUUUGAAGGGGGGAAAAAAAGUGAAUAAUGGAAAGGCAUUGAGGUUGAAACAGCAGCUGGACAUGGAUUGGCUCGCUAUAUGCGGGGGGGAAAAAAUGGUGGUUGGAAGAGAACAAAUCACAAAUAGAAACAUUUUGAUAGUGUGGGAAAAUCAAAAGCCUGGAUAAAAAAAUUUAAAAAAAAAAGCAUUCUCAUCAGGGAAACCGAGGAUCGUUCUUCUUGACCUUUUGCUGAAGAUCUAUUUGUAGUAGCUGCUCACAAUAAAUCAUAACAAGCAGAGACUAUAUAAGAAGGCUUUAAUGAAUGACUGGGAGAUUGUGUAUGAAUGCUGACAUUAUGUCGAAGAAUAUUGUUUGCCAUUAAACAAUCAUUUUUAAGUGCCAUAUGAGUAAGUACCGGGCUUGUGCCGGGAAACGUUGAGGCAAAAGGAGGAUAACACAAAUAUGGAUAAGCAGGGAGGCAAAGCAAGAAGAGAUACAGUAUAUAUUUUAAAAAAGAGUUUAUUAAAAAAAA
Molecule: long non-coding RNA, 1207 nt
Organism: Hippocampus comes (tiger tail seahorse)
Lineage: Eukaryota; Metazoa; Chordata; Actinopteri; Syngnathiformes; Syngnathidae
Exons: 3
Source: RefSeq, a predicted model, not a curated record